CCGUUCUUAGUUCGUGGGGUGACUUGUCUGCUUAAAUUGGAUAACGAGCGAGACCUUACUCUGCUAAGUAGCCAGGCUAGCUUUGGCUGGUCGCCGGCUUUCUUAGAGAGACUAUCAACUCAAGUUGAUGGAAGUUGAGGCAAUAACAGGUCUGUGAUGCCCUUAGAUGUUCUGGCCGCACGCGCGCUACACUGACAGAGCCAACGAGUUCUUCACCUUGACCGAAAGGUCUGGGUAAUCUUGUUAAACUCUGUCGUGCUGGGGAUAAAGCAUUGCAAUUAUUGCUUUUCAACGAGGAAUGCCUAGUAAGCGCGUGUCAUCAGCAUGCGUUGAUUACGUCCCUGACCUUUGUACACACCGCCCGUCGCUACUACCGAUUGAAUGGCUCAGUGAGGCGUUUGGACUGGCUCGGGGAGGUUGGCAACGACCACCCCAAGCCGGAAAGUUCUCCAAACUUGGUCAUUUAGAGGA
This 471-nucleotide ribosomal RNA is filed under the name Stemphylium vesicarium. Its description in RNAcentral is "SSU rRNA". It matches the Rfam family "Eukaryotic small subunit ribosomal RNA", at positions 1288 to 1780 of the family's 1831-position model. Lineage: Eukaryota; Fungi; Ascomycota; Dothideomycetes; Pleosporales; Pleosporaceae. The record is from RNAcentral.